GACGAACGCUGGCGGCGUGCUUAACACAUGCAAGUCGAGCGGUAAGGCCCUUUCGGGGUACACGAGCGGCGAACGGGUGAGUAACACGUGGGUGACCUGCCCUCAGCUCUGGGAUAAGCCUGGGAAACCGGGUCUAAUACUGGAUAUGACUCCAUGACGCAUGUUGUGGGGUGGAAAGCCUUGUGCGGCUGAGGAUGGGCCCGCGGCCUAUCAGCUUGUUGGNGGGGUNAGGGCCUACCAAGGCGACGACGGGUAGCCGGCCUGAGAGGGCGACCGGCCACACUGGGACUGAGACACGGCCCAGACUCCUACGGGAGGCAGCAGGUGGGGAAUCUUGCGCAAUGGGCGAAAGCCUGACGCAGCGACGCCGCGUGAGGGAUGACGGCCUGGU
This 391-nucleotide ribosomal RNA is filed under the name uncultured bacterium. Its description in RNAcentral is "bacterial SSU rRNA". It matches the Rfam family "Bacterial small subunit ribosomal RNA", at positions 28 to 420 of the family's 1533-position model. The record is from RNAcentral.